Molecule: long non-coding RNA, 211 nt
Filed under: Vigna radiata
Lineage: Eukaryota; Viridiplantae; Streptophyta; Magnoliopsida; Fabales; Fabaceae
Description: long non-coding RNA (VRAD_LNC013317)
Source: RNAcentral
AAUGAUUAUGACAAUCAAUAUUCAUUGGUAGUAAUGGAUAAUUACAUAGAAGACAUUGAAAAAUAUGACAUGAUUAUCUAUGUUUUAAUUAAAGUAAUAACAUUCAUUUUCUGUUUUAUAUUAUAAAAACAUUGUUUUUCAUUACUCACAAAACAUUUCUUAACAAUGAAACAACUAAGUAGAUGACGAAAUAAAAUGACAAUCACAUCAC